GUAGCGUGUGGGUGCAGUGUCCAUGCUCUCUUACCCCCGGCCCUGUGUGUGGGGACAUACAUUAGAGAGAGCUCAAUAAAAGAAGUGGGGCAGGGCAGCAAAAAACCUAGAGCAUCUGUCCUAGUAGGCCCUUCACUGCAAGCGGGGUUUUUUUGCUCUAAAUAAACUUUAUCAGGUAUAAAAACGUGUGCAGAGACAAAUCACGUCACGUGGCGCCAUCUU
Pelobates cultripes (western spadefoot toad) is the source of this 222-nucleotide non-coding RNA. Lineage: Eukaryota; Metazoa; Chordata; Amphibia; Anura; Pelobatidae. The record is from the annotation of a GenBank genome assembly.